RNAcentral lists this ribosomal RNA (542 nucleotides) under uncultured bacterium. RNAcentral describes it as "bacterial SSU rRNA". It matches the Rfam family "Bacterial small subunit ribosomal RNA", at positions 777 to 1329 of the family's 1533-position model. The record is from RNAcentral.
AAUAGAUACCCCGGUAGUCCUAGCCGUAAACGAUGAACACUAGGCGUAGUCGGUAUCGACCCCGGCUGUGCCGUAGCUAACGCAUUAAGUGUUCCGCCUGGGGGAGUACGGCCGCAAGGCUAAAACUCAAAGGAAUUGACGGGGGGCCCGCACAAGCAGCGGAGCGUGUGGUUUAAUUCGUCGCAACGCGAAGAACCUUACCAGGGCUUGACAUGUGGCGGAAAACGGCGGAAACGUCGUCCUCCCGCAAGGGACCGUCAUGCGGGUGUUGCAUGGCUGUCGUCAGCUCGUGUCGUGAGAUGUUGGGUUAAGUCCCGCAACGAGCGCAACCCCCGUGGCAUGUUGUAUCUCUCAUGCCAGACUGCCGAGAGAAACUCGGAGGAAGGUGGGGAUGACGCAAGUCAGCAUGGCCCUUACGUCCUGGGCUACACACACGCUACAAUGGCCGGUACAACGGGUUGCCGAAACCGCGAGGUGGAGCUAACCCCUUAAAGCCGGUCUCAGUUCGGAUUGCAGGCUGCAACUCGCCUGCAUGAAGCCGG